AGAAAACAUGACAGAAAACAAAGCUCUCUGCUGAGAAAGUGUGAGGGCAGGUGGUUUGCACCUGGCCUGCAUAGGGAUGUUGUGGCUGCUUUGUUCUUCGAGGCACACAAAUCGGUCCCUCCUUCUGAGGCCUUCCAGGAUGCGCUUUUGAGGUUCACAGAACAGGCUUUGGAGCUACAGCUAGGAAAGCGGAGAGAUCAGUGGCCAGAACCUGGGGAAGGGGAGAAGGGGAGGCUGAAACUCAGUGGACGCAAGAGGAGGAGAAGGGCCCAGGGACCUGAGGCGUUUGGAGUGGACAAGCCCUCCUGUCUGUUUGCACAGCACCGGGUGCAGGUCUCAGGGGCAGCCGCUGGACCCGCGUCUCACUGCUUCUCUGACAUUCGCACCCUGCCCACGCCUGCCUGCGGGCUCAGUCACGUCCUCCUCGUCGGCUGCGUCCCCCACGCACGCUGCGUCAGCCUCCCAAGAUUCAGGUCAGCUUACAGUAGGAACACGUUCUUCACGGAUUCACCUUUAGACAGUCAUUUCUCUGCAAGCAGAGGCAAGGCUGGAUGCUGACUCAGGAAUGCUUGUUCCAGCAGAACUGGGAGGUUGAAAACCUGCGUUCUCUCCACCAGCUCCUCACCUGUGGGCCAAGAAACCAAGGGACCUCAGCAGUCUCAUCAUGGGUAUGCAGGAGCCUUCUGUCCCCUCUUACCUGUACCCCAUCUUUGUAUCACUUUUGUGCUAAUUUUGCAAAUGUAUCAACGCUAAGUAAAUUUGAAUAAG
RNAcentral lists this long non-coding RNA (768 nucleotides) under Ursus maritimus (polar bear). RNAcentral's name for it is "lncRNA (ENSUMAG00000001685.1)". Lineage: Eukaryota; Metazoa; Chordata; Mammalia; Carnivora; Ursidae. The record is from RNAcentral.